Molecule: transfer RNA, 65 nt
Filed under: Mesorhizobium abyssinicae
Lineage: Bacteria; Pseudomonadati; Pseudomonadota; Alphaproteobacteria; Hyphomicrobiales; Phyllobacteriaceae
Also listed under: 7 other names
Description: tRNA-OTHER
Source: RNAcentral
GCCGCUUCAGCUAAGUUGGUAGGACAUCAUGGGGGUCGCGUGUUCGAGUCACGCAAGCGGCACCA